AUUGAACGCUGGCGGCAUGCUUUACACAUGCAAGUCGAAUGGCAGCGGGGAGGAGCUUGCUUCUCUGCCGGCGAGUGGCGAACGGGUGAGUAAUACAUCGGAACGUGUCGAGAAGAGGGGGAUAACCACCCGAAAGGGUGGCUAAUACCGCAUAAAUUCUGAGGAAGAAAGCUGGGGACCUAGGAAUAGGCCUAGCGCUUUUUGAGCGGCCGAUGUCGGAUUAGCUAGUUGGUGAGGUAAAGGCUCACCAAGGCGAAGAUCUGUAGCGGGUCUGAGAGGAUGAUCCGCCACACUGGGACUGAGACACGGCCCAGACUCCUACGGGAGGCAGCAGUGGGGAAUUUUGGACAAUGGGGGCAACCCUGAUCCAGCCAUGCCGCGUGUAUGAAGAAGGCCUUAGGGUUGUAAAGUACUUUUGUUAGGGAAGAAAAGUCAGCUGUGAAUAAUGGCUGAUACUGACGGUACCUAAAGAAUAAGCACCGGCUAACUACGUG
This 494-nucleotide ribosomal RNA is filed under the name uncultured bacterium. RNAcentral describes it as "partial 16S ribosomal RNA". It matches the Rfam family "Bacterial small subunit ribosomal RNA", at positions 30 to 507 of the family's 1533-position model. The record is from RNAcentral.